GAUUGAACGCUGGCGGCAGGCUUAACACAUGCAAGUCGAGCGGUAGCACAGGGGAGCUUGCUCCCUGGGUGACGAGCGGCGGACGGGUGAGUAAUGUCUGGGAAACUGCCUGAUGGAGGGGGAUAACUACUGGAAACGGUAGCUAAUACCGCAUAACGUCGCAAGACCAAAGAGGGGGACCUUCGGGCCUCUUGCCAUCAGAUGUGCCCAGAUGGGAUUAGCUAGUAGGUGGGGUAAUGGCUCACCUAGGCGACGAUCCCUAGCUGGUCUGAGAGGAUGACCAGCCACACUGGAACUGAGACACGGUCCAGACUCCUACGGGAGGCAGCAGUGGGGAAUAUUGCACAAUGGGCGCAAGCCUGAUGCAGCCAUGCCGCGUGUGUGAAGAAGGCCUUCGGGUUGUAAAGCACUUUCAGCGAGGAGGAAGGUGGUGAACUUAAUACGUUCAUCAAUUGACGUUACUCGCA
This 467-nucleotide ribosomal RNA is filed under the name uncultured Enterobacterales bacterium. Its description in RNAcentral is "bacterial SSU rRNA". It matches the Rfam family "Bacterial small subunit ribosomal RNA", at positions 27 to 483 of the family's 1533-position model. Lineage: Bacteria; Pseudomonadati; Pseudomonadota; Gammaproteobacteria; Enterobacterales. The record is from RNAcentral.